UACGGAGGGUGCAAGCGUUAUCCGGAUUCACUGGGUUUAAAGGGUGCGUAGGCGGAUAAGUAAGUCAGUGGUGAAAUCUCCGAGCUUAACUCGGAAACUGCCGUUGAUACUAUUUGUCUUGAAUAUUGUGGAGGUAAGCGGAAUAUGUCAUGUAGCGGUGAAAUGCUUAGAUAUGACAUAGAACACCAAUUGCGAAGGCAGCUUACUACACAAUGAUUGACGCUGAGGCACGAAAGCGUGGGGAUCAAACAGG
This 253-nucleotide ribosomal RNA is filed under the name uncultured bacterium. RNAcentral's name for it is "partial 16S ribosomal RNA". It matches the Rfam family "Bacterial small subunit ribosomal RNA", at positions 524 to 776 of the family's 1533-position model. The record is from RNAcentral.